CUCAAAAUUGUGUGGGACCACCCAACUUUUUUUGUUGAAAAAUGAAAGAAAUAUGAAAAAUUGAAAACAUAAAAAAAUAAAAGCUCAAAUCUCUAAAUAAAUUAUAAAUUUAUCUCUCAAGUUGCAAAAUUCAUAAAACCCUAGUACAGUUCAUCUAUGCAAGGAGGAGGAGUUCCACCGUUGGCUUCUUGAGAUUCAUGAAGCUUGGGCUAAAUCUAUCAUUUUGGAGUUCUUCUUCGCUAGAAAGGUUGGGUGUCUUUGAGCUUUGUGGUUAUUUUGUUGCUAAGGAUAAGCUUUUACUCUUUUCUAUCUAUGCGGUUGAUCUGUGAUUUCAGAUCUGGAGUCCAAGCAUCCAACAAAGAAGGGUGAAAUACUUUGUAGUCAAUGGCUGUAGUUUUUCCAAGGAAAAUGUAUUUGGUAUUGGUUUACAGGUUUGAAGGCUCAAGUUUGUAACUCAAGAUGCAAGUUCGAAAGACUUGAUACAAGUUAACAAAUUAGUUCAUUUUGCUUAAUGCUGGGAAAAUCACUUUGUUGUUUGGUGAAGGAUUGUGUAAACAUAUUAGAUUUACAUCUCAUAUUGAGAUAUACAUUGGUACUAGUGGGAGACCUUUUUGUAAUGGAUUCCAAAUUUUAUAUAUGAAAGCAGCAUAUUAAUGUUGGUUUUAA
Long non-coding RNA from Lycium ferocissimum, 666 nucleotides. RefSeq lists it as uncharacterized. The transcript has 2 exons. Lineage: Eukaryota; Viridiplantae; Streptophyta; Magnoliopsida; Solanales; Solanaceae. The record is from RefSeq and is a predicted model, not a curated record.